GACGAACGCUGGCGGCGUGCUUAACACAUGCAAGUCGAACGGAAAGGCCCUGCUUGCAGGGUACUCGAGUGGCGAACGGGUGAGUAACACGUGGGUGAUCUGCCCUGCACUUCGGGAUAAGCCUGGGAAACAGGGUCUAAUACCGGAUAGGAGCCAUUUUUAGUGUGAUGGUUGGAAAGUUUUUUCGGUGUAGGAUGAGCUCGCGGCCUAUCAGCUUGUUGGUGGGGUAAUGGCCUACCAAGGCGGCGACGGGUAGCCGGCCUGAGAGGGUGGACGGCCACAUUGGGACUGAGAUACGGCCCAGACUCCUACGGGAGGCAGCAGUGGGGAAUAUUGCACAAUGGGCGCAAGCCUGAUGCAGCGACGCCGCGUGGGGGAUGACGGCCUUCGGGUUGUAAACUCCUUUCGCUAGGGACGAAGCUUUUUGUGACGGUACCUAGAUAAGAAGCACCGGCUAACUACGUG
Molecule: ribosomal RNA, 465 nt
Filed under: uncultured bacterium
Lineage: Bacteria
Description: partial 16S ribosomal RNA
Rfam family: Bacterial small subunit ribosomal RNA
Source: RNAcentral